AAGGGUGUUUAGCACUUGGAUCCAAUAUCUAAAUCAAAUGGCAUUGUUAAUUAGGUGCCAAUAUAUAUCAUUUAGGGAAUUUUAUUUAUUCCUCUUUUUAAAGUUGGUCUCUUUUCAAUGUUUUGGAUUUAAUUUGGUCAAAAAAUAAUUUUGAAAGCUGUUAAUUGAGGAUGGAGUGCUUUUUCCCCUCCCUGUUUAGAAGAACCAUUUUUUGUUGAGUGGGGUAAUUUAUUAACAAUGAGAGACAUCAGACAUGUGUCUCCCUCCCUCUCUAGAGUGUCAUACCUUGCAUUGAAUAUAAAGAAGUUAGCAUCAGAACCAAGAAUAUAGGUAGUCUUUGUAUUACAUGAUAAAAUUACAAAAGUAACAAAACAUUCGUCAUUUCCGUGAUUUCUUCAUUCUUUUGGCGGGAGUAGAAGAAGAUGGAGAUUGAAAAAAUGGGGUAGCUUGAGAGAGAGCCUGCAUUUGGUAUACCAGCUCUGUGGUUAGCAUUACCCCAAUGCAAAUAAGUUUUUUGCAUUUCUGCUGAUGAGGAUUUUCCUCUUUUGCUUUCAGCUAAAGCCUU
This 565-nucleotide unclassified non-coding RNA is filed under the name Hevea brasiliensis (rubber tree). The record is from RNAcentral. Lineage: Eukaryota; Viridiplantae; Streptophyta; Magnoliopsida; Malpighiales; Euphorbiaceae.